AUAUAGGUCAAGCUACAAAGGGCGCAUGGUGAAUGCCUUGGCAUCAGGAGCCGAUGAAGGACGUGAUAAGCUGCGAUAAGCUUCGGGUAGGCGCACAUAGCCUGAGAUCCGAAGAUCUCCGAAUGAGGAAACUCACAUGGGAAACCCCAUGUAUCAUUAAGUGAAUACAUAACUUAAUGAAGGUAACCCAGGGAACUGAAACAUCUAAGUACCUGGAGGAAGAGAAAGAAAAAUCGAUUUUCUUAGUAGCGGCGAGCGAAAGGGAAAGAGCCCAAACCGGAAACUUGUUUCCGGGGUUGAGGACAUAACAUAAAGAGAAGUAAUGGCUAAUUGAAGAGAACUGGAAAGUUCCACCGUAGAAGGUAAUAGUCCUGUAAAUGAAAGCUAGUAUAAUCGAGUUAUGAUCCAGAGUACCACGAGACACGUGAAACCUUGUGGGAAGCAGGGAGGACCACCUCCCAAGGCUAAAUACUACCUGAUGACCGAUAGUGAAGCAGUACCGUGAGGGAAAGGUGAAAAGAACCCCAGGAGGGGAGUGAAAUAGAACCUGAAACCGUGUGCCUACAACCGCUCAGAGCCCCUUAUGAGGGUGAUGAGGUGCUUUUUGUAGAACGAGCCAACGAGUUACGGUAUGUAGCAAGGUUAAGUACUUAAGGUACGGAGCCGAAGGGAAACCGAGUCUGAAUAGGGCGACUAGUUGCAUGCCGUAGACCCGAAACCGGGUGACCUAUCCAUGGCCAGGUUGAAGCGAGGGUAAAACCUCGUGGAGGACCGAACCACGUUGCUGUUGAAAAAGCAUGGGAUGAGCUGUGGAUAGCGGAGAAAU
RNAcentral lists this ribosomal RNA (826 nucleotides) under Clostridium perfringens. RNAcentral's name for it is "bacterial LSU rRNA". It matches the Rfam family "Bacterial large subunit ribosomal RNA", at positions 1 to 827 of the family's 2925-position model. Lineage: Bacteria; Bacillati; Bacillota; Clostridia; Eubacteriales; Clostridiaceae. The record is from RNAcentral.